This 2903-nucleotide ribosomal RNA is filed under the name Enterobacter hormaechei. Its description in RNAcentral is "23S ribosomal RNA". It matches the Rfam family "Bacterial large subunit ribosomal RNA". The record is from RNAcentral. Lineage: Bacteria; Pseudomonadati; Pseudomonadota; Gammaproteobacteria; Enterobacterales; Enterobacteriaceae.
UUAAGCGACUAAGCGUACACGGUGGAUGCCCUGGCAGUCAGAGGCGAUGAAGGACGUGCUAAUCUGCGAAAAGCGCCGGCGAGGUGAUAUGAACCCUUGACCCGGCGAUGUCCGAAUGGGGAAACCCAGUGCAAUCCGUUGCACUAUCGUUAACUGAAUACAUAGGUUAACGAGGCGAACCGGGGGAACUGAAACAUCUAAGUACCCCGAGGAAAAGAAAUCAACCGAGAUUCCCCCAGUAGCGGCGAGCGAACGGGGAGCAGCCCGGAGUCUGAAUCAGCUUGUGUGUUAGUGGAACGGUCUGGAAAGUCCGACGGUACAGGGUGAUAGUCCCGUACACGAAAGCACACUUGCUGUGAACUCGAAGAGUAGGGCGGGACACGUGGUAUCCUGUCUGAAUAUGGGGGGACCAUCCUCCAAGGCUAAAUACUCCUGACUGACCGAUAGUGAACCAGUACCGUGAGGGAAAGGCGAAAAGAACCCCGGCGAGGGGAGUGAAAAAGAACCUGAAACCGUGUACGUACAAGCAGUGGGAGCCUCUUUAUGGGGUGACUGCGUACCUUUUGUAUAAUGGGUCAGCGACUUAUAUUCUGUAGCAAGGUUAACCGUAUAGGGGAGCCGAAGGGAAACCGAGUCUUAACUGGGCGUUAAGUUGCAGGGUAUAGACCCGAAACCCGGUGAUCUAGCCAUGGGCAGGUUGAAGGUUGGGUAACACUAACUGGAGGACCGAACCGACUAAUGUUGAAAAAUUAGCGGAUGACCUGUGGCUGGGGGUGAAAGGCCAAUCAAACCGGGAGAUAGCUGGUUCUCCCCGAAAGCUAUUUAGGUAGCGCCUCGUGAACUCAUCUUCGGGGGUAGAGCACUGUUUCGGCUAGGGGGCCAUCCCGGCUUACCAACCCGAUGCAAACUACGAAUACCGAAGAAUGUUAUCACGGGAGACACACGGCGGGUGCUAACGUCCGUCGUGAAGAGGGAAACAACCCAGACCGCCAGCUAAGGUCCCAAAGUCAUGGUUAAGUGGGAAACGAUGUGGGAAGGCACAGACAGCCAGGAUGUUGGCUUAGAAGCAGCCAUCAUUUAAAGAAAGCGUAAUAGCUCACUGGUCGAGUCGGCCUGCGCGGAAGAUGUAACGGGGCUAAACCAUGCACCGAAGCUGCGGCAGCGACACUAUGUGUUGUUGGGUAGGGGAGCGUUCUGUAAGCCGUUGAAGGUGUGCUGUGAGGCAUGCUGGAGGUAUCAGAAGUGCGAAUGCUGACAUAAGUAACGAUAAAGCGGGUGAAAAGCCCGCUCGCCGGAAGACCAAGGGUUCCUGUCCAACGUUAAUCGGGGCAGGGUGAGUCGACCCCUAAGGCGAGGCCGAAAGGCGUAGUCGAUGGGAAACAGGUUAAUAUUCCUGUACUUGGUGUUACUGCGAAGGGGGGACGGAGAAGGCUAUGUCAGCCGGGCGACGGUUGUCCCGGUUUAAGCAUGUAGGCGGAGGUUCCAGGUAAAUCCGGUACCUUAUUAACGCUGAGGUGUGAUGACGAGGCACUACGGUGCUGAAGUGAUAAAUGCCCUGCUUCCAGGAAAAGCCUCUAAGCAUCAGGUAACACGAAAUCGUACCCCAAACCGACACAGGUGGUCAGGUAGAGAAUACCAAGGCGCUUGAGAGAACUCGGGUGAAGGAACUAGGCAAAAUGGUGCCGUAACUUCGGGAGAAGGCACGCUGAUGUGUAGGUGAAGUCCCUGCGGACGGAGCUGAAAUCAGUCGAAGAUACCAGCUGGCUGCAACUGUUUAUUAAAAACACAGCACUGUGCAAACACGAAAGUGGACGUAUACGGUGUGACGCCUGCCCGGUGCCGGAAGGUUAAUUGAUGGGGUUAGCGGCAACGCGAAGCUCUUGAUCGAAGCCCCGGUAAACGGCGGCCGUAACUAUAACGGUCCUAAGGUAGCGAAAUUCCUUGUCGGGUAAGUUCCGACCUGCACGAAUGGCGUAAUGAUGGCCAGGCUGUCUCCACCCGAGACUCAGUGAAAUUGAACUCGCUGUGAAGAUGCAGUGUACCCGCGGCAAGACGGAAAGACCCCGUGAACCUUUACUAUAGCUUGACACUGAACACUGGUCCUUGAUGUGUAGGAUAGGUGGGAGGCUUUGAAGCGUGGACGCCAGUCUGCGUGGAGCCAACCUUGAAAUACCACCCUUUAAUGGCUGGUGUUCUAACGUAGACCCGUAAUCCGGGUUGCGGACAGUGUCUGGUGGGUAGUUUGACUGGGGCGGUCUCCUCCCAAAGAGUAACGGAGGAGCACGAAGGUUGGCUAAUCCUGGUCGGACAUCAGGAGGUUAGUGCAAUGGCAUAAGCCAGCUUGACUGCGAGCGUGACGGCGCGAGCAGGUGCGAAAGCAGGUCAUAGUGAUCCGGUGGUUCUGAAUGGAAGGGCCAUCGCUCAACGGAUAAAAGGUACUCCGGGGAUAACAGGCUGAUACCGCCCAAGAGUUCAUAUCGACGGCGGUGUUUGGCACCUCGAUGUCGGCUCAUCACAUCCUGGGGCUGAAGUAGGUCCCAAGGGUAUGGCUGUUCGCCAUUUAAAGUGGUACGCGAGCUGGGUUUAGAACGUCGUGAGACAGUUCGGUCCCUAUCUGCCGUGGGCGCUGGAGAAUUGAGGGGGGCUGCUCCUAGUACGAGAGGACCGGAGUGGACGCAUCACUGGUGUUCGGGUUGUCAUGCCAAUGGCACUGCCCGGUAGCUAAAUGCGGAAGAGAUAAGUGCUGAAAGCAUCUAAGCACGAAACUUGCCCCGAGAUGAGUUCUCCCUGAGACUUUAAGUCUCCUGAAGGAACGUUGAAGACGACGACGUUGAUAGGUCGGGUGUGUAAGCGCAGCGAUGCGUUGAGCUAACCGAUACUAAUGAACCGUGAGGCUUAACCUU